GACGAACGCUGGCGGCGUGCCUAAUACAUGCAAGUCGAACGAGAGCGACCGGUGCUUGCACUGGUCAAUCUAGUGGCGAACGGGUGAGUAACACGUGGGUAACCUGCCCAUCAGAGGGGGAUAACAUCCGGAAACGGAUGCUAAAACCGCAUAGGUCUUCGAACCGCAUGGUUUGAAGAGGAAAAGAGGCGCAAGCUUCUGCUGAUGGAUGGACCCGCGGUGCAUUAGCUAGUUGGUGAGGUAACGGCUCACCAAGGCCGUGAUGCAUAGCCGACCUGAGAGGGUGAUCGGCCACAUUGGGACUGAGACACGUCCCAAACUCCUACGGGAGGCAGCAGUAGGGAAUCUUCCGCAAUGGACGCAAGUCUGACGGAGCAACGCCGCGUGAGUGAAGAAGGUUUUCGGAUCGUAAAACUCUGUUGUUAGAGAAGAACAAGUGCUAGAGUAACUGUUAGCGCCUUGACGGUAUCUAACCAGAAAGCCACGGCUAACUACGUG
RNAcentral lists this ribosomal RNA (498 nucleotides) under uncultured bacterium. RNAcentral describes it as "partial 16S ribosomal RNA". It matches the Rfam family "Bacterial small subunit ribosomal RNA", at positions 28 to 507 of the family's 1533-position model. The record is from RNAcentral.